GGGGUUGGCGGCAUGCUUAACAUGCAGUCGAACGGUAGAGUAGCAAUACUUGAGAGUGGCGAACGGGUGAGUAAUAUAUCGGAACGUGCCCAAUCGUGGGGGAUAACGUAGAGAAAUUUACGCUAAUACCGCAUAAGAUCUAAGGAUGAAAGCGGGGGACCCGUAAGGGCCUCGCGCGAUUGGAGCGGCUGAUAUCAGAUUAGGUAGUUGGUGUGGUAAAAGCGCACCAAGCCGACGAUCUGUAGCUGGUUUGAGAGAACGACCAGCCACACUGGGACUGAGACACGGCCCAGACUCCUACGGGAGGCAGCAGUGGGGAAUUUUGGACAAUGGGCGAAAGCCUGAUCCAGCAAUGCCGCGUGCAGGAAGAAGGCCUUCGGGUUGUAAACUGCUUUUGUACGGAACGAAACGGUGCUCUUUAAUAAAGAGUGCUAAUGACGGUACCGUAAGAAUAAGCACCGGCUAACUACGUGCCAGCAGCCGCGGUAAUACGUAGGGUGCGAGCGUUAAUCGGAAUUACUGGGCGUAAAGCGUGCGCAGGCGGUUAUAUAAGACAGUUGUGAAAUCCCUGGGCUCAACCUAGGAAUUGCAUCUGUGACUGUAUAGCUAGAGUACGGUAGAAGGGGGGAUGGAAUUCCGCGUGUAGCAGUGAAAUGCGUAGAUAUGCGGAGGAACACCGAUGGCGAAGGCAAUCCCCUGGACCUGUACUGACGCUCAUGCACGAAAGCGUGGGGAGCAAACAGGAUUAGAUACCCUGGUAGUCCACGCCCUAAACGAUGUCAACUGGUUUGUUGGGUGCAUUAGUACUCAGUAACGAAGCUAACGCGUGAAGUUGACCGCCUGGGGAGUACGGCCGCAAGGUUGAAACUCAAAGGAGUUGACGGGGACCCGCACAGCGUGGAUGAUGUGGGUUUAAUUCGAUGCAACGCGAAAACCUUACCUACCUUUGACAUGUACGACUCGGCAGAGAUGGCUGUGCUCGAAGAGAGCGUACACAGUGCUGCAUGCUGUCGUCAGCUCUGUCGUGAGAUGUGGUAGUCCGCACGACGCACCUGUCAUAGUGCUACUAGUGCCUCUAUGAACUGCGUGACACGGAGAGUGGAUGACGUCAAGUCUCAUGGCUGUACGUAGCUACACCGCUUGACAUGCAUGUACAAAGUUCAUCCGAGGAGACAUCUAAGCUUCAUCGACUCCUAUCUAUGCUCACGUCG
RNAcentral lists this ribosomal RNA (1211 nucleotides) under Polaromonas sp. RNAcentral describes it as "bacterial SSU rRNA". It matches the Rfam family "Bacterial small subunit ribosomal RNA", at positions 32 to 1295 of the family's 1533-position model. The record is from RNAcentral. Lineage: Bacteria; Pseudomonadati; Pseudomonadota; Betaproteobacteria; Burkholderiales; Comamonadaceae.